UUUUAGAGGGUUUAACAAAACAGAGGGUUUUUAUACAGUCUAUGGGUUUAACAGUAGGGCAAUCCUGCACAGCAGGAGAGCUGCCGUUUUAGGACUGCAGUUUUCAGGCCCUUCAUUCUUCCGCGACAGCGCCACAUAGUUUGGAGGGUAAACGUGCAUUUCUCCAGGAAAUAAUAAAAUGAAAAGCUGCUGACAGACGCCGAGCUGGACUACUUGCUUGUUGGACUGCAGGUGGACCGUUCCUCUCUUUGAGCCGAGGACUCAAUAGAUUAUAAUGCCGCAGAUGGACGGGAGCUUAGUGUCACAGUUCCUGUCGUCCAAACAUCCCGAAGCUUUAUUAUCUGUAA
This is a long non-coding RNA of Centropristis striata (black sea bass), 347 nucleotides long. RefSeq lists it as uncharacterized. The record is from RefSeq and is a predicted model, not a curated record. Lineage: Eukaryota; Metazoa; Chordata; Actinopteri; Perciformes; Serranidae. The transcript has 3 exons.